AAUGAAAUGGCUGAGUGGAAAUAGGCAUUAGAUUGUAAAUCUAAGUACGGGAGAACAUCUCUUUCAUUA
This 69-nucleotide transfer RNA is filed under the name Remiarctus bertholdii. Its description in RNAcentral is "tRNA-Tyr". It matches the Rfam family "tRNA". From Rfam's summary of the family: Transfer RNA (tRNA) molecules are approximately 80 nucleotides in length. Their secondary structure includes four short double-helical elements and three loops (D, anti-codon, and T loops). Further hydrogen bonds mediate the characteristic L-shaped molecular structure. tRNAs have two regions of fundamental functional importance: the anti-codon, which is responsible for specific mRNA codon recognition, and the 3' end, to which the tRNAs corresponding amino acid is attached (by aminoacyl-tRNA synthetases). tRNAs cope with the degeneracy of the genetic code in two manners: having more than one tRNA (with a specific anti-codon) for a particular amino acid; and 'wobble' base-pairing, i.e. permitting non-standard base-pairing at the 3rd anti-codon position. The record is from RNAcentral. Lineage: Eukaryota; Metazoa; Arthropoda; Malacostraca; Decapoda; Scyllaridae.